AUUUAAUGGAUCCUAACCACCACACCACAUAUGAAGGAGUUGAUUGUAGUAGCCUAAUUGCUUCUCAAUUCUCUAACCCUACAAAAUCCCUCCAUCUCUCUUUUGCUAGUUCUUCAAUUGGAACUCGUUUCGGGAUUUCACUAUUUUUCAAGAAAAACCUAUUUCCACAAAGGAUUUGGGGGUGCAGGAUUACGAAAAUAAUACUCCAAGAGAUAAACAUCCAAUUUCGUGAAGUCAACAGAGCAUCUUUAAUAAUAACUUAGUAUCUUAGUUUAAAGCAAUAUAGUAUUCCAACACAUCUUUGUUUAUUAUGUAUUUUUUUAGAUAUUAUUUGUAAAUUAUAUAUUCUCAUAUUUAUGUAUUUGAACUUUAUCAAUUGUAGUUUAUA
Molecule: long non-coding RNA, 388 nt
Organism: Benincasa hispida (wax gourd)
Lineage: Eukaryota; Viridiplantae; Streptophyta; Magnoliopsida; Cucurbitales; Cucurbitaceae
Source: RefSeq, a predicted model, not a curated record